This 272-nucleotide long non-coding RNA is filed under the name Daucus carota (carrot). Its description in RNAcentral is "long non-coding RNA (DCAR_LNC001399)". Lineage: Eukaryota; Viridiplantae; Streptophyta; Magnoliopsida; Apiales; Apiaceae. The record is from RNAcentral.
GAUACUCUCAAGGUUUUGAUGAUGACACUAACAGCAAGCUAAUAACAGGAAACUGAUAUAUGUGAGCAUGCUAUCAAAGGUUGUUUAUGCGUACUAACAGUAUUUCAGGAUGUUAGCAUGAUUAUAGCUGUCAGCAAGCUUACAGGAUUAUUUUCAAGCUAUCAGCAGGCUUACAGCGUGAACAGAGAAACAAUCGGAUAAAGAUCAAAGUCUAUUUUCAAGGAGAUUUAAUAGGAAACGACUUUGUAAGGAUUCUAAUAUUUAUAUAUAUC